AUCUCGGUACCACCAACAUUCCUAUCGGUGCCACCGAGAUUCAGUGACCAACUUUCUGUUGACAAGAUCUAAAGAAUCGGAAUUUCCGAGUUUAAAAUCAGCCUCACCGAGAAUUGGAAACUGGUCUAGGUCAUCGUAUCGAUACCACAAAGAUUCCUAAAUCGGUCUCACCCAGAAUUCAAAAGUUGCUACAUUUAGCGCAACUCGAUACCACCGAGAUUCAUUUCGGUGUCACCGAGUUGGGCAAUAAUGUUGUAACGGUUGGAUUUUGGGGGAUGCCUAUAUAUACCCCUCCACCAACCUCUCAUUCGUAGAGUAAGCAC
RNAcentral lists this long non-coding RNA (323 nucleotides) under Hordeum vulgare. RNAcentral describes it as "long non-coding RNA (HVUL_LNC019373)". Lineage: Eukaryota; Viridiplantae; Streptophyta; Magnoliopsida; Poales; Poaceae. The record is from RNAcentral.